Molecule: long non-coding RNA, 220 nt
Filed under: Panax ginseng (ginseng)
Lineage: Eukaryota; Viridiplantae; Streptophyta; Magnoliopsida; Apiales; Araliaceae
Description: long non-coding RNA (PGIN_LNC009688)
Source: RNAcentral
CCGUCUCAAAAUAUCAUUUCUUUAACUCAUCAGUCUCAUUAUAUUGAGAAGUUGUUAAGAAGUUUAAUCAUGAGAAUUGCAAGAUAACUUCUAAUACAUAUGACCAUGUUGUAAAGUUAUUUACAAAUAAAGUGAAUAGCAUAUCUCAGUUAGAGUAUGCAAGUAUAAUCAGUAGUCUAAUGUAUGCAAUGCAGUGUAUUGACCUAAUAUAACAUUUACG